GCAUGUAAGCCAGGGAUAAGCUAGGCGGGCCUGUAAAGCCCUACCUCGUUGGUUCGAAUCCAACUACAUGCA
This 72-nucleotide transfer RNA is filed under the name Streptomyces phage Starbow. RNAcentral describes it as "tRNA-Tyr". It matches the Rfam family "tRNA". From Rfam's summary of the family: Transfer RNA (tRNA) molecules are approximately 80 nucleotides in length. Their secondary structure includes four short double-helical elements and three loops (D, anti-codon, and T loops). RNAcentral also lists the same sequence under 6 other names. The record is from RNAcentral. Lineage: Duplodnaviria; Heunggongvirae; Uroviricota; Caudoviricetes; Stanwilliamsviridae.